UACAGAGGUCUCAAGCGUUGUUCGGAUUCAUUGGGCGUAAAGGGAGCGUAGGUGGUGGGGCACGUCAGGUGUGAAAUCUCGGGGCUCAACCCCGAAACUGCACUUGAUACUGCCUUGCUAGAGUACUGGAGAGGAGAUUGGAAUUUACGGUGUAGCAGUGAAAUGCGUAGAUAUCGUAAGGAAGACCAGUGGCGAAGGCGAAUCUCUGGACAGUUACUGACACUGAGGCUCGAAGGCCAGGGGAGCAAACGGG
This 253-nucleotide ribosomal RNA is filed under the name uncultured bacterium. RNAcentral's name for it is "partial 16S ribosomal RNA". It matches the Rfam family "Bacterial small subunit ribosomal RNA", at positions 524 to 776 of the family's 1533-position model. The record is from RNAcentral.